GACGAACGCUGGCGGCGUGCUUAACACAUGCAAGUCGAACGGAAAGGCCCUGCUUGCAGGGUGCUCGAGUGGCGAACGGGUGAGUAACACGUGGGUGAUCUGCCCCUUAUUUUGGGAUAAGCCUGGGAAACUGGGUCUAAUACUGGAUAGGACCAUGCUGUAGGUGGUGUGGUGGAAAGAUUAGUUUCGGUAAGGGAUGAGCUCGCGGCCUAUCAGCUUGUUGGUGGGGUAAUGGCCUACCAAGGCGUCGACGGGUAGCCGGCCUGAGAGGGUGGACGGCCACAUUGGGACUGAGAUACGGCCCAGACUCCUACGGGAGGCAGCAGUGGGGAAUAUUGCACAAUGGGCGCAAGCCUGAUGCAGCGACGCCGCGUGGGGGAUGACGGCCUUCGGGUUGUAAACUCCUUUCAGCCAUGACGAAGCCCUUGUGGUGACGGUAGUGGUAGAAGAAGCACCGGCUAACUACG
This 467-nucleotide ribosomal RNA is filed under the name uncultured bacterium. RNAcentral's name for it is "partial 16S ribosomal RNA". It matches the Rfam family "Bacterial small subunit ribosomal RNA", at positions 28 to 505 of the family's 1533-position model. The record is from RNAcentral.